GGAAUUUUGGACAAUGGGCGCAAGCCUGAUCCAGCCAUGCCGCGUGAGUGAAGAAGGCCUUAGGGUUGUAAAGCUCUUUCGGCGGGGACGAUGAUGACGGUACCCGCAGAAGAAGCCCCGGCUAACUCCGUGCCAGCAGCCGCGGUAAUACGGAGGGGGCAAGCGUUGUUCGGAGUUACUGGGCGUAAAGGGCGCGUAGGCGGUGCGACAAGUCAGGCGUGAAAGCCCCGGGCUUAACCUGGGAAUUGCGCUUGAUACUGUCGCGCUAGAGAUCGGGAGAGGAUGGCGGAAUUCCCAGUGCAGAGGUGAAAUUCGUAGAUAUUGGGAAGAACACCGGUGGCGAAGGCGGCCAUCUGGACCGUAUCUGACGCUGAGGCGCGAAAGCGUGGGGAGCAAA
RNAcentral lists this ribosomal RNA (397 nucleotides) under uncultured bacterium. Its description in RNAcentral is "bacterial SSU rRNA". It matches the Rfam family "Bacterial small subunit ribosomal RNA", at positions 358 to 772 of the family's 1533-position model. The record is from RNAcentral.